UAGUGGCAGACGGGUGAGUAAUGCAUAGGAAUCUACCUAGUAGUAUAGGAUAGCCACUAGAAAUGGUGGGUAAUACUGUAUAAUCCCUGCGGGGGAAAGAUUUAUCGCUACUAGAUGAGCCUAUGUCAGAUUAGCUAGUUGGUGGGGUAAUGGCCCACCAAGGCUGUGAUCUGUAGCUGGUCUGAGAGGAUGAUCAGCCACACUGGAACUGAGACACGGUCCAGACUCCUACGGGAGGCAGCAGUGGGGAAUAUUGGACAAUGGGCGCAAGCCUGAUCCAGCUAUGCCGCGUGAGUGAGGAAGGCCUUAGGGUUGUAAAACUCUUUCAGUAGGGAAGAUAAUGACGGUACCUA
This 353-nucleotide ribosomal RNA is filed under the name Anaplasma phagocytophilum. Its description in RNAcentral is "bacterial SSU rRNA". It matches the Rfam family "Bacterial small subunit ribosomal RNA", at positions 93 to 481 of the family's 1533-position model. The record is from RNAcentral. Lineage: Bacteria; Pseudomonadati; Pseudomonadota; Alphaproteobacteria; Rickettsiales; Anaplasmataceae.